RNAcentral lists this ribosomal RNA (301 nucleotides) under uncultured bacterium. Its description in RNAcentral is "partial 16S ribosomal RNA". It matches the Rfam family "Bacterial small subunit ribosomal RNA", at positions 509 to 807 of the family's 1533-position model. The record is from RNAcentral.
CAGUAGCCGCGGGAAUACGAAGGGUGCAAGCGUUAAUCGGAAUUACUGGGCGUAAAGCGUGCGUAGGCGGUUUGUUAAGUCUGUUGUGAAAUCCCCGGGCUCAACCUGGGAACGGCAAUGGAUACUGGCAAGCUAGAGUGUGUCAGAGGAUGGUGGAAUUCCCGGUGUAGCGAUGAAAUGCGUAGAGAUCGGAAGGAACAUCAGUGGCGAAGGCGGCCAUCUGGGACAACACUGACGCUGAGGCACGAAAGCGUGGGGAGCAAACAGGAUUAGAUACCCGCGUAGUCCCUGUCUCUUAUAC